Molecule: ribosomal RNA, 448 nt
Filed under: uncultured bacterium
Lineage: Bacteria
Description: SSU rRNA
Rfam family: Bacterial small subunit ribosomal RNA
Source: RNAcentral
AGAACGAACGCUGGCGGCAGGCCUCAAACAUGCAAGUCUAGGGGGCGUAGCAAUACGUCACCGGCGGACGGGUGCGUAACACGUGGGAAUGUACUUACUGGUUCGGAAUAACUGAGGGAAACUUCAGCUAAUACCGUAUACGCCCUAAGGGGGAAAGAUUUAUCGGUGCCAGAUGAGCCCGCGUAAGAUUAGCUAGUUGGUGGGGUAAUGGCCUACCAAGGCGACGAUCUUUAGCUGGUCUGAGAGGAUGAUCAGCCACACUGGGACUGAGACACGGCCCAGACUCCUACGGGAGGCAGCAGUGGGGAAUAUUGGACAAUGGGCGAAAGCCCUGAUCCAGCCAUGCCGCGUGAGUGAUGAAGGCCUUAGGGUUGUAAAGCUCUUUCAGUGGGAAGAUAAUGACGGUACCCACAGAAGAACGCCCGGCUAACUUCGCGCCAGCAGCCGC